CGGGUGAGUAACGCGUGAGGAACCUGCCUCAAAGAGGGGGACAACAGUUGGAAACGACUGCUAAUACCGCAUAAGCCCACGGCUCGGCAUCGAGCAGAGGGAAAAGGAGUGAUCCGCUUUGAGAUGGCCUCGCGUCCGAUUAGCUAGUUGGUGAGGUAACGGCCCACCAAGGCAACGAUCCGUAGCCGGACUGAGAGGUUGAACGGCCACAUUGGGACUGAGACACGGCCCAG
RNAcentral lists this ribosomal RNA (233 nucleotides) under uncultured bacterium. Its description in RNAcentral is "partial 16S ribosomal RNA". It matches the Rfam family "Bacterial small subunit ribosomal RNA", at positions 103 to 334 of the family's 1533-position model. The record is from RNAcentral.